This 468-nucleotide ribosomal RNA is filed under the name uncultured bacterium. RNAcentral's name for it is "partial 16S ribosomal RNA". It matches the Rfam family "Bacterial small subunit ribosomal RNA", at positions 28 to 507 of the family's 1533-position model. The record is from RNAcentral.
GACGAACGCUGGCGGCGCGCUUAACACAUGCAAGUCGAACGGAAAGGCCGUGCCUGUGUGGGGUGCUCGAGUGGCGAACGGGUGAGUAACACGUGAGUAACCUGACCUGGACUUUGGGAUAACUUCAGGAAACGGGGGCUAAUACCGGAUAGGAGCUCCUGCUGCUUGGUGGGGGUUGGAAAGUUUCGGCGGUUGGGGAUGGACUCGCGGCAUAUCAGCUUGUUGGUGGGGUAGUGGCUUACCAAGGCUUUGACGGGUAGCCGGCCUGAGAGGGUGACCGGCCACAUUGGGACUGAGAUACGGCCCAGACCCCUACGGGAGGCAGCAGUGGCGAAGGUUGCACAAUGGGCGGGAGCCUGAUGCAGCAACGCCGCGUGCGGGAUGACGGCCUUCGGUUUGUAGACCGCUUUCGCCUGUGACGAAGCGUGUGUGACGGUAAUGGGUAAAGAAGCACCGGCUAACUACGUG